UUUGGUGUGAAUUGUUAUGAGCAGCUGAAACGGUUAUAUAAAGAAUUUUCUACUACAUGAAUAGAGCUGGGUGAUUCUCGUCUUACCCUCAGAGAGCUCACAUACAAAAUUGUUGACAAAAUAUUUUCACAGGUUUGUGUUUCUUAAUCUUUUUUCUGUUUGUUUUGUUUCUGCUGCUUUUCUUUUUAAUUCUCCAUGAAUGUCUCGUUCUCUCAGGUACCCAGAAAGUUUACCAGUAAUGUUGAAGGAAAAAUGGGAUAUGAAGAUUUUGUAUAUUUCAUUUUAUCUGAAGAAGAUAAAUCAUCAGAGCCGAGUCUGGAAACAGUGUGAUUACAGGUUCAAGUGUGUAGAUUUAGAUUUAGUCAUUUAGUCAUUUAGGCCUUGUUUGAUAAGCCUCUUACCGAGUCCGGUAAGAAGCCACAUCUGAUUCAGUCCAAAACAGAAUGUUUGAUUACACCAUUUUAAGCUCUUACUCGGUCCAUAGGCUUCUUACCGAGUCAUUCUAAAAAUGACGCUGACUGAGAAUAUAGGCUCAUUUUCCCUUCUCCUUUUUUAUCCUCUGAACGUGACCUCACUCCUUCGUCCUUCCUCUUCAUCCCAUCUCUCGUCUGUUUCAUCCUCGGUGCCCACCUAUUCUAGCGCCGGCCACCUCCUCCAACAUCGUCCUUUUCAACGUUGUCCUCUCUAGCGCCGAACUUCUAACCCCUUCUCUCAUGAUCGAUUGCAAUUGUCGUCUUACUUGGAAUAACACCGCCAAAAAAAUCGUUCACCACCAGAAGGGUAAGAUGGUCAUUUUUAGCAUUCAACACAUCCAGUCAGAUACCUUAUCAAACAACAUGGUCGCAGUCAGAACAAGAUCCAGUCAGAGCUUCAACCCAGGCAUGCCUCAGUCAGGUUCAAGUGUGUAGAUUUAGAUGCAAACAGUGUGAUUACAAGGAAUAAAAUGCAAUUCUUCUAUGAAGAACACUUGCAUUGAAUGGAAUGCAUGGCCCAAGAGCCUGUUCUUUUUGAAGAUAUUUUGUGUCAAAUAGUCGACAUGAUUGGACCAAA
This is a non-coding RNA of Lactuca sativa (garden lettuce), 1050 nucleotides long. The record is from RefSeq and is a predicted model, not a curated record. NCBI's taxonomy places the organism in Eukaryota, Viridiplantae, Streptophyta, Magnoliopsida, Asterales, Asteraceae.